This 1008-nucleotide long non-coding RNA is filed under the name Fragaria vesca (wild strawberry). RNAcentral's name for it is "long non-coding RNA (FVES_LNC004803)". The record is from RNAcentral. Lineage: Eukaryota; Viridiplantae; Streptophyta; Magnoliopsida; Rosales; Rosaceae.
UUCAUAUUUUUUCAGAUAUACUUGAGGGAAUUACUCAUCUCUUGAAUAUUUGUUGAACUUGUUUUUUCUUUAUGUGAAUUUUUUUUUUUACAGAUAUUUCUUUAAUAUAUCGAAGAUUUAUCGUAAAUAUCCUAAGUUAGAUAUUUGAUGGUAUCGGAGAAAUAUCGGAGAUACGGUAGAAGAUAAGAUAUUUACCCCUCUAAAUAUAUCGGUCCUUAAAAAAAAAAAGAUAUCGUGAUGAAGUAUAAAGUGUAGAGAAAGAGAGAUAGCAAGAGAAUCAUCAUCUUAUUCAUUGAUAGGAGCCCUUUAUAUAGGGAAUUACACAAUACCAAUAUGGUAAGGAUAUGAAUACAUAGAUCUAGUUAAACUAAAUAUCCUAUUGGCAUAAGGUCAAGGCACACAGGUAANAAGUAUCUAGAAAGAUACAGAAUAUCCUAGAACACUCCCCUUUGUAUCGCGCGCUGAUAUGUUGAUGGUGCUGAUCUGUUGCCUCGUCAAAAACCUCGUCAAGUCACAAAAACCCUGUGGGAGAAAAACUGAACCUUGAUCGUAGGAGAAAAAGAGUACAACGCACCCUUCACAUUUGAUAGUGACAUGUAUGUAUGUACGAGACUCCCCCUGAAGUUCGCACCUCCCCCUGAUCUUUACAUCAAUCAUAGGGCUCUUCCUGAUUCUUACUAAUCACGGAAAUUUCAACAACUUAGCAUGUCAAUGCUCUUUAACAUGUCUUCAAAUGUGGCAUUAGGCAAUGAUUAACUAAAUCAUGCCGUAUUGUCCUCAAAUGAUCUUUUACACUUAGAUCUUGAGGAGAAGGCCGCUUGUGAACUCAAAACAUAAGUUCGUGCAGGAAAUUAGAUUUCCGCGCAGCAUGACCUUCAGUUACUAGAACAGUCGUAACUUCCUCUAGGAAAUACAUAUGAACGAACCGUUGGAGUCGUGUUUGGGUGACGUCAAUGGCCCCCGGGUCAACACCAUGCUUCAUGGUGAUGCUAGAUCUCGAAUGUCUUC